AGAGAGAGACAUGCGCGCAUAUCAAUAAGCGGAGGAAAAGAAACUAACAUAGGAUUCCCUCAGUAACGGCGAGUGAAGCGGGAAGAGCUCAAAUUUGAAAUCUUCAAGGUUCUACCUUGACGAAUUGUAGUUUAAAGAAGUGUUUUCUGCUGAAGUUUUGGUAAAAGUUCUUUGGAAUAGGACAUCAUAGAGGGUGAGAAUCCCGUAUUUGACCAUUAUUUUCUAGCUUUGUGGAUACACUUCCAAAGAGUCGGAUUGUUUGGGAAUGCAGUCCAAAAUGGGUGGUAAAUUUCAUCUAAAGCUAAAUAUUGGCGAGAGACCGAUAGCGAACAAGUACCGUGAGGGAAAGAUGAAAAGAACUUUGAAAAGAGAAUUAAACAGUACGUGAAAUUGUCAAAAGGGAAGCGUUUGACACCAGUGUUGUUUUCUCGAAAAUCAAUUAAAAAUGGCUCGAUUUUGUAUUGUUGAGACCUUAAAAGCUCACUGUACAUUUUUCGUGUCUUUUUUAAUGCACUUUUCGUUUAACAAGUCAACAUCAAUUUCUUUUGUUGUAAAAGGGUCAUUGGAAGGUGGCUUUCUUUUCGGAGAAAGUGUUUAUAGCCUUUGGCCUCUGCAAUCGAAGAGACUGAGGUCUGCAGCGUAGACUCUUCGGGGUUAGAUACAUUUGUGCUAAGUUAUAGCUUUUUAUAGACAACUUGUUGACUAUAAUUAGUCUUGUAGCUUACUCGCUUAUGCUACUUUUACCUACGCUUAGGAUGUUGAAGUCAUCGUAUCGCGC
Molecule: ribosomal RNA, 778 nt
Filed under: uncultured Neocallimastigales
Lineage: Eukaryota; Fungi; Neocallimastigomycota; Neocallimastigomycetes; Neocallimastigales
Description: partial large subunit ribosomal RNA
Rfam family: Eukaryotic large subunit ribosomal RNA
Source: RNAcentral